Molecule: ribosomal RNA, 254 nt
Filed under: uncultured bacterium
Lineage: Bacteria
Description: partial 16S ribosomal RNA
Rfam family: Bacterial small subunit ribosomal RNA
Source: RNAcentral
CACGUAGGGGGCAAGCGUUGUCCGGAUUUAUUGGGCGUAAAGAGCUCGUAGGCGGUUCGGUAAGUCGGGUGUGAAACCUCCAGGCUCAACCUGGAGAGGCCACCUGAUACUGCUGUGACUCGAGUCCGGUAGGGGAGCGUGGAAUUCCUGGUGUAGCGGUGGAAUGCGCAGAUAUCAGGAGGAACACCGGUGGCGAAGGCGGGAUCCUGGACCGGCAUUGACGCUGAGGCGCGAAAGCCAGGGGAGCAAACGGG